AGAGUUUGAUCCUGGCUCAGAUUGAACGCUGGCGGCAGGCCUAACACAUGCAAGUCGAGCGGUAGAGAGGUGCUUGCACCUCUUGAGAGCGGCGGACGGGUGAGUAAUGCCUAGGAAUCUGCCUAGUGGUGGGGGAUAACGUUCGGAAACGGACGCUAAUACCGCAUACGUCCUACGGGAGAAAGCGGGGGAUCUUCGGACCUCGCGCCAUUAGAUGAGCCUAGGUCGGAUUAGCUAGUUGGUGAGGUAAUGGCUCACCAAGGCGACGAUCCGUAACUGGUCUGAGAGGAUGAUCAGUCACACUGGAACUGAGACACGGUCCAGACUCCUACGGGAGGCAGCAGUGGGGAAUAUUGGUCAAUGGGCGGAAGCCUGAACCAGCCAUGCCGCGUGCAGGAAGACGGCCCUACGGGUUGUAAACUGCUUUUCCGGGGGAAGAAUAAGGCCCAUGCGUGGGCCGAUGCCGGUACCCCGGGAAUAAGGAUCGGCUAACUCCGUGCCAGCAGCCGCGGUAAUACGGAGGAUCCGAGCGUUAUCCGGAUUUACUGGGUUUAAAGGGUGCGUAGGCGGACGCCUAAGUCAGCGGUGAAAUGCGGGGGCUCAACCUUCGAACCGCCGUUGAUACUGGGCGUCUUGGAUUCGGUCGAGGCGGGCGGAAUGCGACAUGUAGCGGUGAAAUGCUUAGAUAUGUCGCAGAACGCCGAUUGCGAAGGCAGCUCGCCGGGCCGACAUCGACGCUGAGGCACGAAAGCGUGGGGAUCGAACAGGAUUAGAUACCCUGGUAGUCC
Molecule: ribosomal RNA, 788 nt
Filed under: uncultured bacterium
Lineage: Bacteria
Description: bacterial SSU rRNA
Rfam family: Bacterial small subunit ribosomal RNA
Source: RNAcentral